RNAcentral lists this ribosomal RNA (475 nucleotides) under uncultured bacterium. RNAcentral describes it as "bacterial SSU rRNA". It matches the Rfam family "Bacterial small subunit ribosomal RNA", at positions 28 to 499 of the family's 1533-position model. The record is from RNAcentral.
GAUGAACGCUGGCGGCGUGCUUAACACAUGCAAGUCGAACGAAGCACUCUAUUUGAUUUUCUUCGGAGAUGAAGAUUUUGUGACUGAGUGGCGGACGGGUGAGUAACGCGUGGGUAACCUGCCUCAUACAGGGGGAUAACAGUUGGAAACGACUGCUAAUACCGCAUAAGCGCACGGUACCGCAUGGUAUCGUGUGAAAAACUCCGGUGGUAUGAGAUGGACCCGCGUCUGAUUAGCUAGUUGGUGGGGUAACAGCCUACCAAGGCGACGAUCAGUAGCCGACCUGAGAGGGUGACCGGCCACAUUGGGACUGAGACACGGCCCAAACUCCUACGGGAGGCAGCAGUGGGGAAUAUUGCACAAUGGGGGAAACCCUGAUGCAGCGACGCCGCGUGAGCGAAGAAGUAUUUCGGUAUGUAAAGCUCUAUCAGCAGGGAAGAAAAAAUGACGGUACCUGACUAAGAAGCACCGGCUA